Molecule: ribosomal RNA, 404 nt
Filed under: uncultured bacterium
Lineage: Bacteria
Description: partial 16S ribosomal RNA
Rfam family: Bacterial small subunit ribosomal RNA
Source: RNAcentral
GAAUCUUGCACAAUGGGCGAAAGCCUGAUGCAGCGACGCCGCGUGCGGGACGAAGGCCUUCGGGUUGUAAACCGCUUUCAGCAGGGACGAGGCCGCAAGGUGACGGUACCUGCAGAAGAAGCCCCGGCUCACUACGUGCCAGCAGCCGCGGUAAUACGUAGGGGGCGAGCGUUAUCCGGAUUCAUUGGGCGUAAAGCGCGCGUAGGCGGCCCGUUAGGUCGGGAGUUAAAUCCGGGGGCUCAACCCCCGCCCGCUCCCGAUACCGGCGGGCUUGAGUCUGGUAGGGGAAGGCGGAAUUCCCAGUGUAGCGGUGGAAAGCGCAGAUAUUGGGAAGAACACCGGUGGCGAAGGCGGCCUUCUGGGCCACGACUGACGCUGAGGCGCGAAAGCUAGGGGAGCGAACA